This is a long non-coding RNA of Polypterus senegalus (gray bichir), 558 nucleotides long. RefSeq lists it as uncharacterized. The transcript has 3 exons. Lineage: Eukaryota; Metazoa; Chordata; Cladistia; Polypteriformes; Polypteridae. The record is from RefSeq and is a predicted model, not a curated record.
AGGGUUUUGGAGAGCCACAUAGUUUAAUACUACAAUUGGGGGAAUGCAGGAAACAUUCUUGAAUGCAGGCAUUACAGAAUAUACAAACAGGCUCAAAACCUUCUUCUUAGAUUCCGGUCCCUGACGUACAUCCAGUUUGGGAUGAAUGCUGUGAGAAAAUCAUGUUCUCAGGUUAGUUACACUGAGGCAGUUAUCCGGACAACAUCCAGUUCAAGACAAGAACCAAUCCUAAAUGGGGCAACCUAACUCACACUGACCCAUGUUAGAGUCAACAGUUAACCUAGUAUAUACAUCUUUGGGAUGUAGGAGAAAAUCAGAGGAAGAGAACUUCAGGAAAAAACGAUGCAGACGCAGGAAGAAUGUAAAAAUUCCACAAAGGCAAGAGCCAGGCAGAAGUCUGAAUACAGCUUCCUUUUAUUAUUUUUAUGAUAAAUUUCAUAAAAAAAUGUAUUACAUAAUUUGUGAAUAAUGUUUUUCUUUUUGUGAAGUCAUUGUCAAUUUGUUCACUUUGUAAUUCUCAUAUACCACAGGGAAAGUUUUCUUCUUACUUUUAUUAUA